UUAUCGGAGAGUUUGAUCCUGGCUCAGGACGAACGCUGGCGGCGUGCCUAAUACAUGCAAGACG
Molecule: ribosomal RNA, 64 nt
Filed under: Bacillus atrophaeus
Lineage: Bacteria; Bacillati; Bacillota; Bacilli; Caryophanales; Bacillaceae
Description: partial 16S ribosomal RNA
Rfam family: Bacterial small subunit ribosomal RNA
Source: RNAcentral